Long non-coding RNA from Nomascus leucogenys (northern white-cheeked gibbon), 366 nucleotides. RefSeq lists it as uncharacterized. NCBI's taxonomy places the organism in Eukaryota, Metazoa, Chordata, Mammalia, Primates, Hylobatidae. The transcript has 3 exons. The record is from RefSeq and is a predicted model, not a curated record.
UUGUGACAUACACCUCUGCCGAGGACCUGAGUGAUUUGACUCUUCUGCUUGGGCCCAGCAUCCAGAUGGGAUUGUGCCACAUUGCUGGACCCAGCCCUUAGGUGAUGUAUUGUGACAUGUGACUGGUCCUGACACCCUGGUGAUGUGAAUCUCCUGCAUGGGACUUGCCCACAGAGGGAGCAUUGUGACAUAGUGCUGAGCUCAGCACCCAGGUGAUGUGACUCUGUUGCCUGUGCUGUACUUUCAGGACAGAAUUGUAAUAUAUCCCUGGCUGAGCACUCAGGUGAGGUGACACUCCUGCUUGGCUCCUUCCCUCAGAGAAGAUUAUGAGAUAUCCAUGGCUUAAAUCCAGGUGAUGUGACUCCC